CGGACGGGUGAGUAAUGCUUGGGAAUCUGGCUUAUGGAGGGGGAUAACUACGGGAAACUGUAGCUAAUACCGCGUAGUAUCGAGAGAUGAAAGGCUGGGACCGCAAGGCCAGUUGCCAUAAGAUGAGCCCAAGUGGGAUUAGGUAGUUGGUGGGGUAAAGGCCUACCAAGCCGACGAUCUCUAGCUGGUCUGAGAGGAUGACCAGCCACACUGGAACUGAGACACGGUCCAGACUCCUACGGGAGGCAGCAGUGGGGAAUAUUGCACAAUGGGGGGAACCCUGAUGCAGCCAUGCCGCGUGAAUGAAGAAGGCCUUCGGGUUGUAAAGUUCUUUCGGUGAUGAGGAAGGUGUUUGUUUUAAUAGAGCAAGCAAUUGACGUUAGUCACAGAAGAAGCACCGGCUAACUCCGUGCCAGCAGCCGCGGUAAUACGGAGGGUGCGAGCGUUAAUCGGAAUGACUGGGCGUAAAGGGCACGCAGGCGGUGACUUAAGUGAGAUGUGAAAGCCCCGAGCUUAACUUGGGAAUUGCAUUUCAUACUGGGUUGCUAGAGUAUUUUAGGGAGGGGUAGAAUUCCACGUGUAGCGGUGAAAUGCGUAGAGAUGUGGAGGAAUACCGAAGGCGA
RNAcentral lists this ribosomal RNA (623 nucleotides) under uncultured Haemophilus sp. Its description in RNAcentral is "bacterial SSU rRNA". It matches the Rfam family "Bacterial small subunit ribosomal RNA", at positions 99 to 718 of the family's 1533-position model. Lineage: Bacteria; Pseudomonadati; Pseudomonadota; Gammaproteobacteria; Pasteurellales; Pasteurellaceae. The record is from RNAcentral.